GUAAGCUACUAAGAGCAAAUGGUGGAUGCCUUGGCUGGUAGAGGCGAUGAAGGACGUACUAGACUGCGAUAAGCUAUGGGGAGCUGUCAAGAAGCUUUGAUCCAUAGAUUUCCGAAUGGGGCAACCCAGUGUAUAGUGAUAUACACUACCUAUAUGGAGCGAACGUGGGGAAUUGAAACAUCUUAGUACCCACAGGAAAAGAAAUCAAAAGAGAUUACGCUAGUAGCGGCGAGCGAACGCGUAAGAGGGCAAACCACUAGUUUACUAGUGGGGUUGUAGGACUGCAUAAAAGACUAAAACAUGAUAGUAAAACAAUCUGGAAAGAUUGAGCAUAGAGGGUGAUACUCCCGUAUACGAAAUCAUCUUUUUACUUAGCAGUAUCCUGAGUAGGGCGAGGCACGUGAAACCUUGUCUGAAUCUGGGAAGACCACUUUCCAACCCUAAAUACUACUACUAGACCGAUAGUGCACAAGUACCGUGAGGGAAAGGUGAAAAGAACUGAGGUGAUCAGAGUGAAAUAGAACCUGAAACCAUUUGCUUACAAUCAUUCAGAGCACGAUUCUUUAUGACGUGUGAUGGACUGCCUUUUGCAUAAUGAGCCUGCGAGUUGUGGUGUCUGGCAAGGUUAAGGAAACCCGGAGCCGUAGCGAAAGCGAGUCUUAAUAGGGCGUUUAGUCAGAUGCUGCAGACCCGAAACGAUGUGAUCUAUCCAUGAGCAGGUUGAAACCGGUGUAAAAACCGGCGGAGGACCGAACCCGCUGACGUUGAAAAGUCUUGGGAUGACUUGUGGAUAGGGGUGAAAGGCCAAUCAAACAUCGUGAUAGCUGGUUCUCUCCGAAAUAUAUUGAGGUAUAGCGUUGUGUCGUAACUAUAAGGGGUAGAGCACUGAAUGGGCUAGGGCGUAUACCAAUGUACCAAACCCUAUCAAACUCCGAAUACUUAUAGUGUAAUCACAGCAGUCAGGCGGCGAGUGAUAAAAUCCGUCGUCAAGAGGGGAACAACCCAGACUACCGACUAAGGUCCCCAAAUCUUAUUUAAGUGGAAAACGAUGUGAAGUUACUGAAACAACCAGGAGGUUGGCUUAGAAGCAGCCAUCCUUUAAAGAUAGCGUAAUAGCUCACUGGUCUAGUGAUUUUGCGCGGAAAAUAUAACGGGGCUAAAAUAAGUACCGAAGUCGUAGGCUUGAUUUAUCAAGCGGUAGGAGAGCGUUGCAUUCAGCGUUGAAGGUGUACCGGUAAGGAGCGCUGGAGCGGAUGCAAGUGAGCAUGCAGGCAUGAGUAGCGAUAAUUAAUGUGAGAAUCAUUAACGCCGUAAACCCAAGGUUUCCUACGCGAUGCUCGUCAUCGUAGGGUUAGUCGGGUCCUAAGCAAAGUCCGAAAGGGGUAUGCGAUGGAAAAUUGGUUAAUAUUCCAAUACCUUUGAUUAUGUGCGAUGGAAGGACGCUUAAAGCUAGUGGGGCUAACUGAUGGAAUAGUUAGUCUAAGGAUGUAGGUUGAGUUAUAGGCAAAUCCGUAACUCUUUAUCUGAAAUCUUAAAGGCUUACAAAACUCUUCGGAGUAGCGUAAGAACCCAUGAUGCUAUCGAGCCAAGAAAAGUUUCUAAGUUUAGUAAUCAAAGCCCGUACCGUAAACCGACACAGGUGGGUGGGAUGAGUAUUCUAAGGCGCGUGGAAGAACUCUCUUUAAGGAACUCUGCAAAAUAGCACCGUAUCUUCGGUAUAAGGUGUGCCUACCAGGGUGUUAAAGCCCUAGAGGUUACAACAAAGAGUCCCUCCCGACUGUUUACCAAAAACACAGCACUCUGCUAACUCGUAAGAGGAUGUAUAGGGUGUGACGCCUGCCCGGUGCUCGAAGGUUAAUUGAUGGGGUUAGCAUUAGCGAAGCUCUUGAUCGAAGCCCGAGUAAACGGCGGCCGUAACUAUAACGGUCCUAAGGUAGCGAAAUUCCUUGUCGAUUAAAUAUCGACCUGCAUGAAUGGCGUAACGAGAUGGGAGCUGUCUCAAAGAGGGAUCCAGUGAAAUUGUAGUGGAGGUGAAAAUUCCUCCUACCCGCGGCAAGACGGAAAGACCCCGUGGACCUUUACUAUAGCUUGACACUGCUACUUGGAUAAAAAUGCGCAGGAUAGGUGGGAGGCUUUGAUCCAUAGAUUUUGGUUUAUGGUGAGCCAUUGUUGAGAUACCACUCUUUUUUAUUUGGGUAGCUAACUAGCAUGAGUUAUCCUCAUGUAGGACAAUGUCUGGUGGGUAGUUUGACUGGGGCGGUCGCCUCCCAAAAUGUAACGGAGGCUUACAAAGGUUAGUUCAGAACGGUUGGAAAUCGUUCGUAGAGUAUAAAGGCAUAAACUAGCUUAACUGUGAGGCAUACAAGCCGAGCAGAGACGAAAGUCGGUCUUAGUGAUCCGGUGGUUCUGUGUGGAAGGGCCAUCGCUCAAAGGAUAAAAGGUACCCCGGGGAUAACAGGCUGAUCUCCCCCAAGAGCUCACAUCGACGGGGAGGUUUGGCACCUCGAUGUCGGCUCAUCGCAUCCUGGGGCUGGAGCAGGUCCCAAGGGUAUGGCUGUUCGCCAUUUAAAGCGGUACGCGAGCUGGGUUCAGAACGUCGUGAGACAGUUCGGUCCCUAUCUGCCGUGGGCGUAAGAAGAUUGAGGAGAGUUGACCCUAGUACGAGAGGACCGGGUCGAACCAACCACUGGUGUAUGGGUUGUUCUGCCAAGAGCAUCGCCCAGUAGCUAAGUUGGGAUGUGAUAAGAGCUGAAAGCAUCUAAGCUCGAAGCCAACUCCAAGAUGAAUCUUCUUUUAAGAGCUCUUAUAGACUAUAAGUUUGAUAGGCUGGAUGUGUAAGUGAUGUAAGUCAUUUAGCUGACCAGUACUAAUAGCUCGUUUGCUUAUCUUU
This 2890-nucleotide ribosomal RNA is filed under the name Campylobacter sputorum subsp. bubulus. RNAcentral describes it as "bacterial LSU rRNA". It matches the Rfam family "Bacterial large subunit ribosomal RNA". Lineage: Bacteria; Pseudomonadati; Campylobacterota; Epsilonproteobacteria; Campylobacterales; Campylobacteraceae. RNAcentral also lists the same sequence under 1 other name. The record is from RNAcentral.